This 1050-nucleotide ribosomal RNA is filed under the name Lactobacillus sp. VRE110B1_13_2A. Its description in RNAcentral is "bacterial SSU rRNA". It matches the Rfam family "Bacterial small subunit ribosomal RNA", at positions 62 to 1079 of the family's 1533-position model. The record is from RNAcentral. Lineage: Bacteria; Bacillati; Bacillota; Bacilli; Lactobacillales; Lactobacillaceae.
CCAUCCUGAAGAUUGAAGCUUGCAUUCAUGAUUCAGAUUUUGGUGAGUGGCGGACGGGUGAGUAACACGUGGGUAACCUGCCCAAAAGUGGGGGAUAACAUUUGGAAACAAGUGCUAAUACCGCAUAACAACUACUUUCACAUGAUCGUAGCUUGAAAGAUGGCUCUGCUAUCGCUUUUGGAUGGACCCGCGGCGUAUUAGCUAGUUGGUGAGGUAAUGGCUCACCAAGGCAAUGAUACGUAGCCGACCUGAGAGGGUAAUCGGCCACAUUGGGACUGAGACACGGCCCAAACUCCUACGGGAGGCAGCAGUAGGGAAUCUUCCACAAUGGGCGAAAGCCUGAUGGAGCAAUGCCGCGUGAGUGAAGAAGGUUUUCGGAUCGUAAAACUCUGUUGUUGAAGAAGAACAUGCGUGAGAGUAACUGUUCACGUACUGACGGUAUUCAACCAGAAAGCCACGGCUAACUACGUGCCAGCAGCCGCGGUAAUACGUAGGUGGCAAGCGUUGUCCGGAUUUAUUGGGCGUAAAGAGAAUGUAGGCGGUUUAUUAAGUUUGAAGUGAAAGCCCUCGGCUCAACCGAGGAAGUGCUUCGAAAACUGGUAAACUUGAGUGCAGAAGAGGAAAGUGGAACUCCAUGUGUAGCGGUGGAAUGCGUAGAUAUAUGGAAGAACACCAGUGGCGAAGGCGGCUUUCUGGUCUGUAACUGACGCUGAGAUUCGAAAGCAUGGGUAGCAAACAGGAUUAGAUACCCUGGUAGUCCAUGCCGUAAACGAUGAGUGCUAAGUGUUGGAGGGUUUCCGCCCUUCAGUGCUGCAGCUAACGCAUUAAGCACUCCGCCUGGGGAGUACGACCGCAAGGUUGAAACUCAAAGGAAUUGACGGGGGCCCGCACAAGCGGUGGAGCAUGUGGUUUAAUUCGAAGCAACGCGAAGAACCUUACCAGGUCUUGACAUACCAUGAAAAAGCUAAGAAGAUUAGUCUUUCCCUUCGGGGACAUGGAUACAGGUGGGUGCAUGGGUUGUCGUCAGCUCCGUGUCGUGAGAAUGUUGGG